UGAAAUUGAAUGGCACAGUUGGGUUUGCAAAGCACUCUUAGGGUUUAUAUGAGAGGGAAUUGGUUCUUUGCCGAUGAGUUCCCUUCAGUCUCUGGAGGUUGCUCUGAACUCUGUUAGCUCUUGUCUCACUAUCUUUUUCCUGCCAGGGUAAUAGGAAUAGAAUGGAAUUUUGUUUCACUGAAACUCUGAAUUUAUAACCUG
This 201-nucleotide long non-coding RNA is filed under the name Lathyrus oleraceus (garden pea). Its description in RNAcentral is "Pisum sativum (pea) long non-coding RNA (PSAT_LNC031805)". The record is from RNAcentral. Lineage: Eukaryota; Viridiplantae; Streptophyta; Magnoliopsida; Fabales; Fabaceae.